RNAcentral lists this ribosomal RNA (502 nucleotides) under uncultured bacterium. RNAcentral describes it as "partial 16S ribosomal RNA". It matches the Rfam family "Bacterial small subunit ribosomal RNA", at positions 28 to 507 of the family's 1533-position model. The record is from RNAcentral.
GACGAACGCUGGCGGCGUGCCUAAUACAUGCAAGUCGAACGAACCGCGACUAGGUGCUUGCUCUUGGUCAAGGUGAGUGGCGAACGGGUGAGUAACACGUGGGUAACCUCCCUCAUAGUGGGGGAUAACAGUCGGACACGACUGCUAAUACCGCAUAGGACAUAGGAUCACAUGAUUCUGUGAGGAACGGUGGCGCCAGCUAUCGCUAAGUGAUGGAUCCGCGGUGCAUUAGCUAGUUGGUAGGGUAAAGGCCUACCAAGGCGAUGAUGCAUAGCCGACCUGAGAGGGUGAUCGGCCACAUUGGGACUGAGACACGGCCCAAACUCCUACGGGAGGCAGCAGUAGGGAAUCUUCCGCAAUGGACGCAAGUCUGACGGAGCAACGCCGCGUGAGUGAAGAAGGUCUUCGGAUCGUAAAGCUCUGUUGUUAGAGAAGAACAGCGCAUAGAGUAACUGUUAUGCGUGUGACGGUACCUAAACAGAAAGCCACGGCUAACUACGUG